GGAAUAUUGGACAAUGGGCGAAAGCCUGAUCCAGCCAUGCCGCGUGAGUGAAGAAGGCCUUAGGGUUGUAAAGCUCUUUCACCUGCGAAGAUAAUGACGGUAGCGGGCGAAGAAGCCCCGGCUAACGCCGUGCCAGCAGCCGCGGUAAUACGGAGGGGGCUAGCGUUGUUCGGCAUUACUGGGCGUAAAGCGCGCGUAGGCGGAUGGUCAAGUCGGGGGUGAAAUCCCGGGGCUCAACCCCGGAACUGCCUCCGAUACAGGACGUCUGGAGGACGGGAGAGGCGAGUGGAAUGCCGAGUGUAGAGGUGAAAUUCGUAGAUAUUCGGCGGAACACCCGUGGCGAAGGCGGCUCGCUGGUCCGUUUCUGACGCUGAGGCGCGAAAGCGUGGGGAGCAAAC
RNAcentral lists this ribosomal RNA (398 nucleotides) under uncultured bacterium. RNAcentral describes it as "bacterial SSU rRNA". It matches the Rfam family "Bacterial small subunit ribosomal RNA", at positions 358 to 773 of the family's 1533-position model. The record is from RNAcentral.